RNAcentral lists this transfer RNA (72 nucleotides) under Cricetulus griseus (Chinese hamster). It matches the Rfam family "tRNA". Rfam says of the family: Transfer RNA (tRNA) molecules are approximately 80 nucleotides in length. Their secondary structure includes four short double-helical elements and three loops (D, anti-codon, and T loops). The record is from Rfam by way of RNAcentral. Lineage: Eukaryota; Metazoa; Chordata; Mammalia; Rodentia; Cricetidae.
GGAUGUGUAGCUCAGUAGUAGAGCACUAGUCUAGCAUGCACAAGUCCCUGGGCUCAAUCCCCAGUACCUUCA